AAGGGAUCUAUCAAUGUCAAUAGAUGAAGAGUAGUCCUAUGUAGAUUAUGAAACUGAGUCCUAAAGUCUAUGACCAUGACAGUGUGAAUGAUGGAAAGGUAUUUCUAUAAGAUUUCACAAUGGACUCAAGUCGAUUGAUUCUAGCAUAUGAUAAGAAUCAGGUUUGAUGAGUUAUCCUUAACCUCUAUCUUGUCCGGACUCAUGAUUGAAGAACCAAAUUACAUGAUAACUGUACCUAAAGGUUCGUUAUUCAGUUCUGC
RNAcentral lists this long non-coding RNA (260 nucleotides) under Elaeis guineensis (African oil palm). Its description in RNAcentral is "long non-coding RNA (EGUI_LNC062999)". The record is from RNAcentral. Lineage: Eukaryota; Viridiplantae; Streptophyta; Magnoliopsida; Arecales; Arecaceae.